GCGGCAGGCCUAACACAUGCAAGUCGAACGGUAACAGGAAGCAGCUUGCUGCUUCGCUGACGAGUGGCGGACGGGUGAGUAAUGUCUGGGAAGCUGCCUGAUGGAGGGGGAUAACUACUGGAAACGGUAGCUAAUACCGCAUAAUGUCGCAAGACCAAAGAGGGGGACCUUCGGGCCUCUUGCCAUCGGAUGUGCCCAGAUGGGAUUAGCUUGUUGGUGGGGUAACGGCUCACCAAGGCGACGAUCCCUAGCUGGUCUGAGAGGAUGACCAGCCACACUGGAACUGAGACACGGUCCAGACUCCUACGGGAGGCAGCAGUGGGGAAUAUUGCACAAUGGGCGCAAGCCUGAUGCAGCCAUGCCGCGUGUAUGAAGAAGGCCUUCGGGUUGUAAAGUACUUUCAGCGGGGAGGAAGGGAGUAAAGUUAAUACCUUUGCUCAUUGACGUUACCCGCAGAAGAAGCACCGGCUAACUCCGUGCCAGCAGCCGCGGUAAUACGGAGGGUGCAAGCGUUAAUCGGAAUUACUGGGCGUAAAGCGCACGCAGGCGGUUUGUUAAGUCAGAUGUGAAAUCCCCGGGCUCAACCUGGGAACUGCAUCUGAUACUGGCAAGCUUGAGUCUCGUAGAGGGGGGUAGAAUUCCAGGUGUAGCGGUGAAAUGCGUAGAGAUCUGGAGGAAUACCGGUGGCGAAGGCGGCCCCCUGGACGAAGACUGACGCUCAGGUGCGAAAGCGUGGGGAGCAAACAGGAUUAGAUACCCUGGUAGUCCACGCCGUAAACGAUGUCGACUUGGAGGUUGUGCCCUUGAGGCGUGGCUUCCGGAGCUAACGCGUUAAGUCGACCGCCUGGGGAGUACGGCCGCAAGGUUAAAACUCAAAUGAAUUGACGGGGGCCCGCACAAGCGGUGGAGCAUGUGGUUUAAUUCGAUGCAACGCGAAGAACCUUACCUGGUCUUGACAUCCACGGAAGUUUUCAGAGAUGAGAAUGUGCCUUCGGGAACCGUGAGACAGGUGCUGCAUGGCUGUCGUCAGCUCGUGUUGUGAAAUGUUGGGUUAAGUCCCGCAACGAGCGCAACCCUUAUCCUUUGUUGCCAGCGGUCCGGCCGGGAACUCAAAGGAGACUGCCAGUGAUAAACUGGAGGAAGGUGGGGAUGACGUCAAGUCAUCAUGGCCCUUACGACCAGGGCUACACACGUGCUACAAUGGCGCAUACAAAGAGAAGCGACCUCGCGAGAGCAAGCGGACCUCAUAAAGUGCGUCGUAGUCCGGAUUGGAGUCUGCAACUCGACUCCAUGAAGUCGGAAUCGCUAGUAAUCGUGGAUCAGAAUGCCACGGUGAACACGUUCCCGGGCCUUGUACACACCGCCCGUCACACCAUGGGAGUGGGUUGCAAAAGAAGUAGGUAGCUUAACCUUCGGGAGGGCGCUUACCACUUUGUGAUUCAUGACUGGGGUGAAGUCGAAACAAGGUA
RNAcentral lists this ribosomal RNA (1469 nucleotides) under metagenome. RNAcentral describes it as "bacterial SSU rRNA". It matches the Rfam family "Bacterial small subunit ribosomal RNA". The record is from RNAcentral.